UCUUAUUUCUGUUAGAGGUUCCGUAGACGUUGUGUGGGUUGUAUCUUAUUUUGAGAAAGUUAAACUAAAUUUGUUGUAAUUAUAUCACAUGUUCCACUUCAACCACGAAUGUAUAGUGUACUGUUUGGAGACUUGUUAAUGGCGUAACUAAUGGAAAUGAACUGGUAUUAUUCACAUGACCUCUUACUGUCUAAUUAAUAAAAUGUAUCUUCUCUUUAUUCAUGGGAGAAUUGGGUAGGUGGUAUUGUACAGGCUUGUUCGACCGAGGUAUUUCGGUUGAGCGCCGGUCUCGCUCCCCAAGGUCGUGGCAUGAGAGACAGUUCCAUGGAGAAGGAUGGCUCCCAGUCUUCCAGCUCUUUCUGCUCUUUCUGCAACUGCUCUGAACUCUUAGCAUUGGCAUCUUCCCUUUGCACUAAGGCCUCCUUCUCAACCUUAAAUCCUUCAAGAUCGGACUUCAACUUUUGAUUUGCCUCGGUAAGCUCCAUAACCUUAGCCAUCUACCCCUGCACCCUUUUAAGUCCAUCCAUGGAGAUCAACUUGCCCUACAAAAUGAAAUAUAUGAGUGACUAAAAUAGUAGUCCCCAGGAUAGCAAAAUAGUUUAAUGCAAACAAAUUAUCUUAUCUUGAGAGCUAACAAAAUAAUAUGUGAAAUCAACCCCUCUGUUGAGUGCCUCCUAAGUUGGACACUUUCCACGGGAUUGAUCAACUCAUGUAGAUAAAUGCCAGCAUGGCUUGGAGCCUUGAAAAUAUUAAUAUUGCCAGGAACGAAGAUCAUAAUUGUGCAAUUACCGACGUUAGUUGAGAGACUGGCUUGCAACACCUGCUCCUGAUCUCUGUUGGCAUCCCUAAACUCUAGACGAUAUCAUUCCCGAUAAAUAACCAUAGGUGCUUCAUGCAAACCUUUAACUUUCCCGGGUUGCUCCCCCUCUUGCUAAUGUCAUUAUUUAUCUUCUUAAAAAGAACCAACAAGAGGUUGUCUCACCGAUUGUUGGCUCCCCCCUUCCGGGACGACACUAGACAUAUCAAAAUUUUAUUUCUUCCUAGUAAGUAAAUCCAAAAAGUGCCUAUUAAGCCCCUCCAAGAUCAGAAAACAAGGGCUAAACUUAAAGUCAGGAUUGAGACUGCUACUUCUUCCCAGUCGAACCUCCAAAGAUGUGAAAAACUGAGUUGUAUAGUUCCAUAAUAGUGUUGUAACCAAUUCAAAUUGAUAAAACAAGAUGCUACCAUAAUUAUUGGCCUUCCACUCUCUUUCAGUAGAAAUGGCCUUCCAAGAUCUUGAAGCUUUGGUGGAGACACUUAAGAUCUUGCCGACCCAUCCCUACAUAGUGUUAAAAGUCACUAUGGUGAUUGCAGAUUAGAUGAAUCAUGAGGUAAGCAUAGUAAACAACCAUCCCCGAUCAUAAUCAUCAUUGGUGUUGGAGAUGAUGGCCCACUUGCCUCGUGGAUUCAUUGUGAACAUGCCGCCCCAAAAAAGCUUGGGAGAUUAGAGAUGCAGAAAAUGCCAAAAAGUAAAGUUCUCAUCGGUCGAGGAAGGAAGACUAGAGGAAGCCUGUAAUGAGUCUCCAUACUUGAGGCCCCACUUGAUCCAAGCAAAUAUUAUAUCUUCUACACAUCUCCUCGGAGAAUUCAUUAAUUGAAAGCCCAAACCUAAUGGUGGAGGAAUAUUUGUACACAAAUAAAAAAUAAUCGCCAUGGUUGAUAAUUCAGCUGCCCUAUCGGACACAAUGAACCUGUACAUUUUCAUCCCAUCCACACUCCACCCGAACGGAAGGAAGGUGGUCCAACUGUAUUAAAGAAGUGUAUUCAUCCACCAGGGCAUUUCUGUCACUGAGAUGCUUCGCGAUCUUGCCUUGAGAUCAGUCAGUUGAGAGGUUCAACUCCUUGGGAAUAAUGUCGCACACGGUUUUCUCUAGACUAGGAUCACAGUCAGUGCUAUUGAUCCCAAAGGAAGAUUUGUGGGUGAUGGUUUUUUCCUUUCUCACCAACCCCAUCAUAUCUACUUCCUCACCUCUUCGGUAGGAGCCAUCAGAAACCAUCUCUCGGUAGUGUCAAAUCUUGUGAUGGCGGAGUAUUAACUAGGUUGAAGGUCAUGACCCUGAGAUUGCAUAAACAAUAUGCAUACAUGAAGACAAAACUAAAGAAAAUUUAGAAAUUAUAGACUGAAAAGGCAAGAACUUAAGAAAAGUUUCACGAAACAACAAUAAAAUCUCUAACAGAAAAAUGAAUAGGGAAAAGAAGAAGAAUGGGUGAAGGGAGUUGGUAUUUUCAAGCGCAGGGUAAUUAUUGCCUUGUUAAUGAAUAAUGACAUCAUCAAUAACCUGAUCUUGUCACAUGUACCAGUUGUAAAGUUGAAGGGACAUCCGCUUUAUCAGAUGACGGUUAUGUUUUAUUUCCCACAUAAAUUUUUUUAUUUUCCAGUCAGCUCAAGAGAACUGCCCGAAAAGUGAGGGAGCUAUCUGUAUUGGUAAUUAAUAUACCGGCAUGAAGACUCUUUUAUCGGAAACGUGGCAAGUACUGAAGAAACUCAUCAUAGUCAACUCCUAGUUAGCCGGUUCUAGCUUGUUCAAAG
Molecule: long non-coding RNA, 2569 nt
Filed under: Nicotiana tabacum (common tobacco)
Lineage: Eukaryota; Viridiplantae; Streptophyta; Magnoliopsida; Solanales; Solanaceae
Description: long non-coding RNA (NTAB_LNC013306)
Source: RNAcentral